This 94-nucleotide ribosomal RNA is filed under the name Lethariella sp. Hur 040085. RNAcentral describes it as "partial 28S ribosomal RNA". It matches the Rfam family "Eukaryotic large subunit ribosomal RNA", at positions 1 to 91 of the family's 3401-position model. The record is from RNAcentral. Lineage: Eukaryota; Fungi; Ascomycota; Lecanoromycetes; Lecanorales; Parmeliaceae.
AAUUGACCUCGGAUCAGGUAGGGAUACCCGCUGAACUUAAGCAUAUCAAUAAGCGGAGGAAAAGAAACCAACAGGGAUUGCCUCAGUAACGGGA